RNAcentral lists this ribosomal RNA (222 nucleotides) under uncultured bacterium. RNAcentral's name for it is "partial 16S ribosomal RNA". It matches the Rfam family "Bacterial small subunit ribosomal RNA", at positions 109 to 334 of the family's 1533-position model. The record is from RNAcentral.
AGUAAUACAUCGGAACGUGUCUUCUAGUGGGGGAUAACUGCCCGAAAGGGCAGCUAAUACCGCAUGAGACCUGAGGGUGAAAGCGGGGGAUCGCAAGACCUCGCGCUGGAAGAGCGGCCGAUGUCCGAUUAGCUAGUUGGUGAGGUAAAGGCUCACCAAGGCGACGAUCAGUAGCUGGUCUGAGAGGACGACCAGCCACACUGGGACUGAGACACGGCCCAG